Long non-coding RNA from Monopterus albus (swamp eel), 611 nucleotides. RefSeq lists it as uncharacterized. The transcript is spliced from 3 exons. The record is from RefSeq and is a predicted model, not a curated record. NCBI's taxonomy places the organism in Eukaryota, Metazoa, Chordata, Actinopteri, Synbranchiformes, Synbranchidae.
ACAGGCACUUACGCAGACGGAUGGGAAGAGCUUGUCAAGCGUGUAAUUGGUUUCUAAGGGCUUCUGUAGCAGAGGGGAGCUGAGUUCAGUGGUCCUGGUGCAGGGUGAGGUCUGAAGGCAGACAGGUGGACAGCGAGUGACGACAUCGAAAUAAAGGAAACGACAGCAAGCAAAGCACAAGAUCAGUCAGUUUCAUCAACAUUCAGUAUAACGAGCCACUAGUGACUUUCCUCUUCCUUCUAUAGACAACAGAAGUGAGGAAGACGCCUGGUACCUGAGACUGAACUGCUGAUUGGAUGUAUGUAAACACUAGGGCUGCAUCAGGAUGGAACCACUGCUCAUGGGAAUAAGGAUGCUGCUCAACAGAGGACAAAGGAUAAUUGUAGAAAUAAAAAGACUGGGAGGAGAGGACUGCAGGCAACCACACGUGCUGGACUCCCCCUACUGGUGUAAGGUAAGGCCACUUACAUUUUAUUUUAUACAGCACAGUGGUUUAGUACAAUGCUCUCUGAAGCUAAGUGGUUGAGGGUGAUCACCUAAGGAAAAGCUGUUUCUCCAGUGUAUGAGGAAAGAUGGUUAGCUACAUGACAGAAAUCAUGUGGUAUUCACAC